AUCCAGUUGAAGAGUCCCACACAGGACGAAACGCGCGUCGAACUUGGAC
Molecule: non-coding RNA, 49 nt
Organism: Schistosoma mansoni
Lineage: Eukaryota; Metazoa; Platyhelminthes; Trematoda; Strigeidida; Schistosomatidae
Source: Rfam